UAACAACAGCAACAACAACCAAAAGAUCACUUUUAGUUUCCAGUUUCACUAAAAUACCUUUUCUGCUCUCUAUGUCCAUCCUGUGCCCUUCAAUAUGUAGUUAAUUAUAUCUUUUGCUACUGAAAGAUGCCACGUUGGUACAGAUUCACAGAAUUGAGUUUUAGAUCAUCUAAAUCUAUCAGACUCCUGGAGAUGCCUGGAUUCUGCAAGUUGUUUAAGAGAGAAUUGCUGUGGUCAACCAACCUCUCCCUAAUCCAAAAGGAUGAGAAAGAAAGAAUAUUCUAGUGAUGCUGCAUGACUGCGAAACAUACAAGCAAAGCCAGAAGAAAUGCACAAGGAAUCAGAUGCCAAGGAGUUCUAAGGGUGAGUCUUAUUCCUGAACCUUUGUUGACCAGCCACUGGGUGAGUUCCAAGUUCCAGUUCAGCAUUUGACUGACCCAAAAAGGACAGGAAACCUGCCACAUGCAGAGGCCUGGCACCUGAAAGACAAGGUCUAUUUCUGUGAAUGGAACCCACCGUGCAUUCUGUAGAGAGGCUUUUCCCAUGCAACUAUCAUCACUUUUCUUGGUAGC
Gallus gallus (chicken) is the source of this 572-nucleotide long non-coding RNA. NCBI's taxonomy places the organism in Eukaryota, Metazoa, Chordata, Aves, Galliformes, Phasianidae. The record is from Ensembl.